AUACGUAGGGGGCGAGCGUUGUCCGGAAUGAUUGGGCGUAAAGGGCGCGUAGGCGGCCCGGUAAGUCUGGAGUGAAAGUCCUGUUUUUAAGAUGGGAAUUGCUUUGGAUACUGUCGGGCUUGAGUGCAGGAGAGGUAAGUGGAAUUCCCAGUGUAGCGGUGAAAUGCGUAGAGAUUGGGAGGGACACCAGUGGCGAAGGCGACUUACUGGACUGUAACUGACGCUGAGGCGCGAAAGUGUGGGGAGCAGACAGGAUUAGAUACCCUGGUAGUCCACACUGUAAACGAUGAAUGCUAGGUGUAGGGGGUAUCGACCCCUUCUGUGCCGCAGUCAAAACAAUAAGCAUUCCGCCUGGGGAGUACGGCCGCAAGGUUGAAACUCAAAUGAAUUGACGGGG
RNAcentral lists this ribosomal RNA (397 nucleotides) under uncultured bacterium. RNAcentral describes it as "partial 16S ribosomal RNA". It matches the Rfam family "Bacterial small subunit ribosomal RNA", at positions 523 to 918 of the family's 1533-position model. The record is from RNAcentral.